CCUCAUCUCUAAUUAAAUGGCCAUGUCUCAGUGCUAUGUAAUCCUGAAGUUUGUAGUUUGGUGAGGCACCAAUAUUCUUUGGCAGAGAAGGCGUUUUUUUCUUAGAGCUUUCAAAUUUGCCUGUACAGCAGUGAGCAAAGAUUCCAGAUCAUAAGGUGCAGAGGACAGAAGAUCUUAAUUCUGCUAGUGAAAUAUAGCUUAUUACAAAUGUAGGCCAGAUUGUGUUUUUAUAUGGACAGAAGACCUUAGCAGAGAGCCUUGAUAACGUGAGUGUGUGUUUAUAUACACACUACCUCGGUAGUGAUUAACGUCCAGGAGCUUACAUCUCUUAGCAGCUCUUAAUCUCUGCCAUGUGAAUCGUUCUGCAGUAUCUUUUUACUCUCUGCAAUUUGUAAUAGUUUCAUGCAGUGACAAUUGCACUUAAUCACACCAUAAGGUGAAGUUAGUCUGCAUUCUUGUUAAAUGUAAAGGGGAAGAGAGAGGGGGAAUAUUAAAAAGAUAGAUCUAGAUUCUUCAAAUGCCACUAACAGCUUAGGUUGUGUGACCCACAUCUCCCAUGGGACAAAUAAUCUAGACCACAAAGAGAGCACCCGUUUCCCCCAGUGCUCCAGCAGAUUCCUGCCAGAUAGAGUGAAUAGUAGCGGACCUGUGUUGUUACUGACCACAGCUAGCAUUGAAUAUUUAAGAUGUUCAAACUUUGUUACAAUAUAAUCAUAAAUAAAAAAUACGAUGGCUGUAGUGGUUUGGAUAGACAGAAGCCUGUUCUGCCAGCAGACCCAUCUUUGGAUAUUACUGCAUGGAAGCCUCUAUUCCACAGCUUUCCUGCAGUGUGGGAUAACAGCUAUUUGCUGCCAUUAUGACAUCUGUGAUUGCACAGCUGCUUGACUAUGACACUCCAGUAGUGUGAAGACAGACUUCCAGGUGGGCAGCAUAACUUCACACUCCAGCUUUGGGUUUUUAAAAACAUUUCACAAUUGUGAAGCGUUGUGCAAAAUUUUAAAAUACACAAAAAUUCAGCAAAGGAAGAUAACAGCAUAUUGUCACAGUAGCACCCAGACUUCACUAUACCAGACCUGUUUGUGUUGCAUCAAAUAAGAACGGAAUUGCUGAAAGAAGAAAGUCUAUGCCUCACUGAAAUAUAACCAGGUUAGCAGAAGCUGGGGCUAACAACAGGAGCUCAGACUAUUCUGUGGAUUCAAACUGCUGACCCUCUGGACAGCAAGUUCUGCAGCUUAGCGGUUUAACCUACUGCACUACCGCAGCCCCU
Anolis carolinensis (green anole) is the source of this 1267-nucleotide long non-coding RNA. RefSeq lists it as uncharacterized. The transcript is spliced from 3 exons. The record is from RefSeq and is a predicted model, not a curated record. NCBI's taxonomy places the organism in Eukaryota, Metazoa, Chordata, Lepidosauria, Squamata, Anolidae.